This 1547-nucleotide ribosomal RNA is filed under the name Actinomyces qiguomingii. Its description in RNAcentral is "bacterial SSU rRNA". It matches the Rfam family "Bacterial small subunit ribosomal RNA". RNAcentral also lists the same sequence under 1 other name. Lineage: Bacteria; Bacillati; Actinomycetota; Actinomycetes; Actinomycetales; Actinomycetaceae. The record is from RNAcentral.
AGAGUUUGAUCCUGGCUCAGGACGAACGCUGGCGGCGUGCUUAACACAUGCAAGUCGAACGGGCCUGCUUGCUUUUUUGGUGGGUGGGUUAGUGGCGAACGGGUGAGUAACACGUGAGUAACCUGCCCUCUUCUCCUGGAUAACUGCUUGAAAGGGCGGCUAAUACGGGGUGGUCUGGCCUGCCUGCAUGGGUGGGUUGGUAUAGGUUCAACUGUUUGGUUGUUCUGGUGGGGGAUGGGCUCGCGGCUUAUCAGCUUGUUGGUGGGGUGAUGGCUUACCAAGGCUUUGACGGGUAGCCGGCCUGAGAGGGUGGACGGUCACACUGGGACUGAGAUACGGCCCAGACUCCUGCGGGAGGCAGCAGUGGGGAAUAUUGCACAAUGGGCGGAAGCCUGAUGCAGCGACGUCGCGUGAGGGAUGGAGGCCUUCGGGUUGUGAACCUCUUUUUCCGGUGGUGAAGGCCUGCUCCUUGUUGUGGGUGGGUUGACGGUAGCCGGGUUAGGAAGCGCCGGCUAACUACGUGCCAGCAGCCGCGGUAAUACGUAGGGCGCGAGCGUUGUCCGGAAUUAUUGGGCGUAAAGGGCUUGUAGGCGGCUGGUUGCGUCUGCCGUGAAAUCCUCUGGCUUAACUGGGGGCUUGCGGUGGGUACGGGCUGGCUUGAGCGCAGUAGGGGAGGCUGGAACUCCUGGUGUAGCGGUGGAAUGCGCAGAUAUCAGGAGGAACACCGGUGGCGAAGGCGGGUCUCUGGGCUGUUGCUGACGCUGAGGAGCGAAAGCGUGGGGAGCGAACAGGAUUAGAUACCCUGGUAGUCCAUGCUGUAAACGGUGGGCACUGGGUGUGGGGGCCCUUUUCCGGGGUUUCUGCGCCGUAGCUAACGCGUUAAGUGCCCCGCCUGGGGAGUACGGUCGCAAGGCUAAAACUCAAAGGAAUUGACGGGGGCCCGCACAAGCGGCGGAGCAUGCGGAUUAAUUCGAUGCAACGCGAAGAACCUUACCAAGGCUUGACAUGGGCUGGUUGCUGCCGGAGACGGUGGUUCCCUUGCUGCUUUUUGUGGUUUGGGCUGGCCUGCAGGUGGUGCAUGGUUGUCGUCAGCUCGUGUCGUGAGAUGUUGGGUUAAGUCCCGCAACGAGCGCAACCCCUGUCUCGUGUUGCCAGCACUUCGGGUGGGGACUCGCGGGAGACUGCCGGGGUGAACUCGGAGGAGGGUGGGGAUGACGUCAAAUCAUCAUGCCCCUUAUGUCUUGGGCUUCACGCAUGCUACAAUGGCCGGUACAGUGGGUUGCGAUGCCGUGAGGCGGGGCGAAUCCCUUAAAGCCGGUCUCAGUUCGGAUCGGUGCCUGCAACUCGGCACCGUGAAGUUGGAGUCGCUAGUAAUCGCGGAUCAGCAACGCCGCGGUGAAUACGUUCUCGGGCCUUGUACACACCGCCCGUCACGUCAUGAAAGCCGGUGACGCCCGAAGCCCGUGGCCUUAUGGGGAGCGGUCGAAGGCGGGGCUGGUGAUUGGGACGAAGUCGUAACAAGGUAGCCGUACCGGAAGGUGCGGCUG